GGUCUGCAGAGCUCCAGGACUGGUCGCCCCCUGGGCGGGGGGACGAGGAGAGGCUGGAGAGAGAAAGGUCCCAGGAAUUACCUAGGACUUUGGUAGCUCCACCGGGCAGCUCAGACUGGGAAGGACACAGGAGCUAGGUCACCACUGUAGGAAGUGUGGGCAGGCUGUCCCCAAGCCUUAGCAGUGUGGCCGCAGAGGUUCAGUUCCACAAGCCCUCCUGGAAAUGGAGAAAGGGCCAGAUCCCUCCCAUGUUUUGAGGCUCCUAAUAUAUUUUAAAAAGACUUGUCGGACUUCCCUGGAGGUCUAGAGGUUAAGACUCUGCGCUUCCACUGCAGGGGGUGUGGAUUCGAUCCCUGGUCAGGGAACUAAGGUCCCACAUGUCACACAGCAUGGCCAAAAAAAAAAAAAAAAAAAAAAGGACUUGUCACACUAGGAGCUAUAAAUAUUGAAGUAUGUUUUAAAAUUCAGUUGAACAAAUGAACUCUUUCAUCGUGUAUUCAAAUGCAGUGCAGUACAUUUGGGCUACUGACAAGAUAAUUGGAGGGUUUGUUUUAAAAAUAUAUUACUUCCUCGGAGAAACGGCUGAUUCUGGGGCUGGGACAGGGAUAAAAGUGAGCUUGGAGUGUCUUGUGGUGCCAGAGUUAGGAAGUGCCCCAAACUCAAAAGGGUAGGAGUGUGUCAAACGGACUCGGGAGCCAAAAGCUCCCAAUGGCCAAAGCUGCAACAAUUAGAGCAAUAAAAUAGAUAAUGGAGUAUUAGAUAGUAACCCAAAGUAUAAAAUCCAUAUCCCUGAGUUGGUACUGGUAGAAAUAAAUUGUUGAAUAAAUAACUAGCUGGGUGGGGCCAGGGUAGAGACAAAUCUUACAAAUAACACAUGUAGGUUCUCCCUUCUCCAGGCUAAUUAUCCUCUCCUCUUCCUUUGAAUGUGCCCUGGGCUUAGUGACUUGCUUCUAAAUCACAGAGUAGGGAAAGGGAACAAUAGGAAGUGUAUGGUGGAGACACCUGGCAGACACCACCUUGACCGAGUGAUCAUGGUUACCACCACCCCAUGAUAAGUCAAGUGGCUAUCAUGUGCCCCCAACAGUAUGUGAUGAGGAGGGCAAUUCAUCCCUGUGGUAUUCUUCCCCAAACCCGUAACCCCAGAGAAAAACCUCAGACAAACUCUCAUUGAAGGCCAUUCUACAAAAUACUUGAUCAGGACUCCUCAAAACCGAAAGGGUCACGAAAAGCACGGAAAGACAGAAGCAGACCAGAGGACAUGAAGAGACACGCCGGGUGGAUGCAGUAUAGUUCCUGGUUGGAUCCUGGAACAGAGAGAGCAUUAAUGGAAAAGCUGCAAGCUCUCUGUUUCUUGCCAAUCACAAGUGAGAAAAGCAAGUAGUCCCAAGAGUUUCUGGAAGCCACCUUGUGACACUUCAGAGGAGGCAGAGCCAAGAGACUAGAAGAACACUGGUCCUCUGUAACAGCUGCUGGAUCGAGCCUUGCCUGAAGCUAUUCCUAGUUCUAGACUCUUUGCCUAUAGAUCAAUGACCUCACAAACCCUUUUUCGAAUAAAGAAGAUAAUUUUUUUGCAAGGAUGAGAACCUGUUUCUUCAUGAAGAGAGUUUGGAGGGAGCUUUUUGUUCUGCGAGGCCAACAUCUGGAUUUGACUAUGUCCAUCCUCAAAAGGAGAUUUCUCAUAAUGGACCGGACUCCAAACACUCAGAGCACAAGGACCGGUGCGUUUUCAAAAGGAGACACUUCCUGAGACGCGUGAGGGCCCUCGUGUCUCCGCAGCGCCAGCUCUGGAGGUCGGGGGAGGGCCCCGCGCCCUUGACGUCUAACUUUCACGCUGAAAGACUUUCCGUCACCUUCCGCCUCCCCGCCGUACUCCGGGAAUUUGGGACCUGAAUUCAUUUAAAAACACCUGUGGUUUCAGGGAGGCUCUUUUUUAUUAUAAGGCUGCCAAGGAGAUCUUACCAUGAAAAACCAUUUGAGAGACGAGAAAGAAGGAAGCCAGGCCAAGGCCGGCGCGGGCUGUGCGGUGGGUUUGGGAAGGAUGCUACGCGGGGCCCGGCCACCUGCGGACCACGCAGGCGGGUACGUGCCCGCGGAGGCGGGUUCGAAUUUCGGCCCUGCGGGUCCUUUCCGACGCGACCUUGGGGGAAGUUGUGUAACCUCUGCGCCCCGCGACGCGCUUUCCUGGAGCCCGAAACUGGAACGAAGCCUCUGGAAGCCCUGACAUCAGAGGUGACGCGAGUCUUCGCAGGCGAUGACUAGGCAAAACCCGCUGCCACUCCCUUUCCCGAGUCCCGGCCGCGCGGCGCGGGCGUGUCACCUCCGACCAGGUGUUUCUGGCUCCUUCAGCAGCUUCUCUACGGCCCCGCACCCCAGCGCCCCCGGGGCCCGCCAGACCCUCCCUGCCUCCUCGGCGACACCGCCGGGCCUCUGAUAACACAGCCCGUGGGCUGGGCUGUGGCGCCCCCUCGUGGUGACCGCAGGGAGGCGGGGCACGAGAACCUUAUUGCCACAUCUCAACCAAAGGAAGUCCUUUCUGGGGUCCAGCCUCGACCUCUCCUGGGGCCGUUUGAAGCAUGAAAGUCAGGUCAUAUGGAGUCCAACCGUUCCUUUUCGAGGCUGGGCCGGGCCACCUUGAAGCCCAAAUGGAAGGGACCACCUGGAGUGGGACCCUGCCAGCAUUUCUCUGCCGAAAGGGCCCUUUGAGGAGUCAGGCUAAGGACUGUUGUGCGGGGGGUGCAUGAGUGGGGAUCUCACCUAGGUGUGGGAAGGACAGAGGGGCCCCCAAAGGAAGGAUCGUAGCUUAGGGCUUUUGAGAAAAAAAUAAGGACUGGGAGCGGAGCCUGUGCCUGAGGGAGGGUUUUGGUGCAUCCCUCAACUCACUGACCUGGUCAGCUUCCCCCCACCUCCUGGGACAGAUUUUAUCAGUGUUUCAGCAGUAUUGGGGAAGGGCCUCAGCGAGCCAUUUUUCUUAAUAAAGAAAGCAAGAGGGACUCAAGUUAAGCACCAGGCAGAAUGUCUCAAUGAUGAGAGAUGUUGAACCUCAGAAAAGAAAGCAGAGGGGGGACCUUCCCAUCAAGGCGAGCCCCCAGGUGAAGUGAGCUGUGGACAAAAGUGAGGCGGCCCCGGAAGCUCCCUGUCUAUCCCGAAGGGCCUGUGCCUAGGGUGUAGUCCUUGGGGUCCCAGGAUGGAAAGGCCUCUUGUGAGGUUCUUGGUGGCUCUGGCCCUUGGGCAUGGGUUGAACCUGGGCAGGUGAGGAUGGGCAGGGGGAGAAAUCGAGGUCCAGAGUCAUUGCUGCCCCCAUCCCGGCCCACUUGGCAAAGUCGUCUUCCUUCACCGCUCAGCUUGCCUCUUCUCUGGACAGUUCCUGAUGCCCCUGAGAGGUCCUGCUGCCCCCCUGUCCCCCAGGUGCUCCCAUCACUCCUGUCCUAUGAUGGUGGGCUCCAAGCCAUCCUGCCCUCUGGGCUGUCGUGCUCCGUCCUGGCUCUCUCCUCCAGCACCCAGCAUGCUGUCCAGCACAUCACCAGUGCUCAAUGUCUCCCUUGCUCUGCUGCCCCUGAUGGUUUUCGGACUGAAUGGUUCAGGAAGGAAGAAAGAGAAGAGGAGGAGCAGAAAAAGUAUUUUAACGGUGGAAAUUUUUGUGCAAGCAAAACCUUGGAAAGAAGACUGAGGCCCAGAAGACUCUUGCCCAAGAACACACAGCUGGGGACACCGGUUUGAGCCCUGGUCCGAGAAGAUCCCACAUGCCGCGGAGCAACUAAGCCCGUGCGCCACAACUACUGAGCCUGCGCUCUAGAGCCCGCGAGCCACAACUACUGAGCCCGUGUACCACAACUACUGAAGCCUGCACACCUAGAGCCUGUGCUCUGCAACAAGAGAAGCCACUGCAAUGAGAAGCCCGUGCACCGCAACGAAGAGUAGGCCCUGCUCGCCGCAUCUCGAGAAAGCCUGCACGCAGCAGUGAAGACCAACACAGCCAAAAAUAAAUAAAUCGGAAAAAAAAAAAAAGAAUUGUCAUGGAAUGGGGUUUCCCAAUCUUUCAUCAGACCUCUCCACCCGCCCCCGCCGCCCCCCACCCCAGUCUCUCUUAGCUGUCUUUAGCUCAGGGACAUCAUUAAAAGGACCUUUGAGUGGUGAGGGGAUGUGUAGAUGAGGAAGGGAGCAGGGAGUGGAAGAGUAGCGGCAGGAUGAGAGUAGUAAAAGCUACCAUUAAUUAAACACUUACUGCAUACCAGCCUCUGUUUUAAGUGUUUUCAGUGUAUUA
Long non-coding RNA from Balaenoptera ricei (Rice's whale), 4261 nucleotides. RefSeq lists it as uncharacterized. The transcript has 7 exons. The record is from RefSeq and is a predicted model, not a curated record. Lineage: Eukaryota; Metazoa; Chordata; Mammalia; Artiodactyla; Balaenopteridae.